AGUGUAGGCGGGAUCGUAAGUUAGGAGUUUAAUACAUGGGCUUAACCCAUGAGCUGCUUUUAAUACUGCGGUUCUUGAGUAUGGGAGAGGGCGAUGGAAUUCCAGGUGUAGCGGUGGAAUGCGUAGAUAUCUGGAAGAACACCAGUAGCGAAGGCGGUCGCCUGGCCCAAUACUGACGCUGAUGCUCGAAAGCUAGGGGAGCAAACAGGAUUAGAUACCCUGGUAGUCCUAGCCGUAAACGAUGGACACUAGUUGCUGGAGGAGUCAAUCCUUUCGGUGACGAAGCUAACGCAUUAAGUGUCCCGCCGUGGGGAGUACGUUCGCAAGGAUGAA
Molecule: ribosomal RNA, 333 nt
Filed under: uncultured bacterium
Lineage: Bacteria
Description: bacterial SSU rRNA
Rfam family: Bacterial small subunit ribosomal RNA
Source: RNAcentral